Molecule: ribosomal RNA, 537 nt
Filed under: uncultured bacterium
Lineage: Bacteria
Description: partial 16S ribosomal RNA
Rfam family: Bacterial small subunit ribosomal RNA
Source: RNAcentral
UGGGGAAUAUUGCACAAUGGGCGAAAGCCUGAUGCAGCGACGCCGCGUGCGGGAUGAAGGCCUUCGGGUUGUAAACCGCUUUUGAUUGGGAGCAAGCGAGAGUGAGUGUACCUUUCGAAUAAGCACCGGCUAACUACGUGCCAGCAGCCGCGGUAAUACGUAGGGUGCAAGCGUUAUCCGGAAUUAUUGGGCGUAAAGAGCUCGUAGGCGGUUUGUCGCGUCUGGUGUGAAAGUCCAUCGCUUAACGGUGGAUCUGCGCCGGGUACGGGCAGGCUAGAGUGCGACAGGGGAGACUGGAAUUCCCCGGUGUAACGGUGGAAUGUGUAGAUAUCGGGAAGAACACCAAUGGCGAAGGCAGGUCUCUGGGUCGUCACUGACGCUGAGGAGCGAAAGCGUGGGGAGCGAACAGGAUUAGAUACCCUGGUAGUCCACGCCGUAAACGGUGGAUGCUGGAUGUGGGGCCCCAUUCCACGGGUUCCGUGUCGGAGCUAACGCGUUAAGCAUCCCGCCUGGGGGAGUACGGCCGCAAGGCUAAAA